CCUGAUGGGAAGCAGGUUAAUAUUCCUGCACCGUCGUAUGAUGCGAUGGGGGGACGGAUCGCGGAAGGUUGUCUGCCUGUUGGAAUAGGCAGUUUCUGGUUCAUAGGAGGUACUUAGGCAAAUCCGGGUACGUAAUCCAAGGGACUGGGACGAAGAACUUAGGUUCUGUAGCAAUCGGAAGUGGUUCCAAGAAAAGCCUCUAAGCUUCAGUCAUACGAGACCGUACCGCAAACCGACACAGGUGGGCGAGAUGAGUAUUCUAAGGCGCUUGAGAGAACUCGGGAGAAGGAACUCGGCAAAUUGGUACCGUAACUUCGGGAAAAGGUACGCCCUUGUAGUUUGACCACUUUACUGUGGAAGGAUGAACGGGUUGCAAUAAACUGGUGGCUGCGACUGUUUAAUAAAAACACAGCACUCUGCAAACAUGAAAGUGGACGUAUAGGGUGUGACGCCUGCCCGGUGCUGGAAGAUUAAAUGAUGGGGUGCAAGCUCUUGAUUGAAGUCCCAGUAAACGGCGGCCGUAACAAUAACGGUCCUAAGGUAGCGAAAUUCCUUGUCGGGUAAGUUCCGACCUGCACGAAUGGCGUAACGAUGGCCACACUGUCUCCUCCCGAGACUCAGCGAAGUUGAAAUGUUUGUGAUGAUGCAAUCUACCCGCGGCUAGACGGAAAGACCCCAUGAACCUUUACUGUAGCUUUGCAUUGGACUUUGAACCAAUCUGUGUAGGAUAGGUGGGAGGCUUAGAAGCGGGGACGCCAGUUCUCGUGGAGCCAACCUUGAAAUACCACCCUGGUUUGUUUGAGGUUCUAACCUUGGUCCGUUAUCCGGAUCGGGGACAGUGCAUGGUAGGCAGUUUGACUGGGGCGGUCUCCUCCUAAAGUGUAACGGAGGAGUUCGAAGGUACGCUAAUUACGGUCGGACAUCGUGAUGAUAGUGCAAUGGCAUAAGCGUGCUUAACUGCGAGACCGACAAGUCGAGCAGGUACGAAAGUAGGACAUAGUGAUCCGGUGGUUCUGUAUGGAAGGGCCAUCGCUCAACGGAUAAAAGGUACUCUGGGGAUAACAGGCUGAUUCCUCCCAAGAGUUCAUAUCGACGGGGGAGUUUGGCACCUCGAUGUCGGCUCAUCACAUCCUGGGGCUGUAGCCGGUCCCAAGGGUAUGGCUGUUCGCCAUUUAAAGUGGUACGUGAGCUGGGUUUAAAACGUCGUGAGACAGUUUGGUCCCUAUCUGCCGUGGGCGUUGGAAAUUUGAAGGGGGCUGCUCCUAGUACGAGAGGACCGGAGUGGACGAACCUCUGGUGUACCGGUUGUCACGCCAGUGGCAUUGCCGGGUAGCUAAGUUCGGAAGAGGU
This 1350-nucleotide ribosomal RNA is filed under the name metagenome. Its description in RNAcentral is "bacterial LSU rRNA". It matches the Rfam family "Bacterial large subunit ribosomal RNA", at positions 1414 to 2765 of the family's 2925-position model. The record is from RNAcentral.